Long non-coding RNA from Symphalangus syndactylus (siamang), 1617 nucleotides. RefSeq lists it as uncharacterized. NCBI's taxonomy places the organism in Eukaryota, Metazoa, Chordata, Mammalia, Primates, Hylobatidae. The record is from RefSeq and is a predicted model, not a curated record.
AUUCUCCACUUAACAAUAUCAACGCAAGGGCAUUGUUUGGAUUCUCAUGCUUCCUGCUGGGGCUGGACGUUUGCUGUUAAAACACAGAAUCUGAUUUUCCCGAAGCCUAAACCGAAUUAUUUUCUUUUUUGGAAUACUAAUAUUUGUCUCUCCAACUCUCACGUGAAUGAAACCAUGAAUUUCAGAUAUUGGCUUUGAUGUUUUGUCCACUGAUUCUCAGUUGAAAUUAGAAGUCAAAGUUUAUCUCUUUCGUCACAAUUGGUUUUGUGCUGUUUCCUUUUCCCCACUGCAUCCAUUUUUUUUUUCUGUAUUAUCUUGUAUUUCCUAGAUUGUGUUCUACUUAUGUAUUUUGUGAUUAAAAUUAAAGUAUAUUAUUAUAUGAUAGGGUUAAAGGCCAAUUCAGUUCUAUAGACAAACUGAGAUAAGUGUCAGAAAUGCAGAAUAACACAGAAUUAUGGACAUAAAAGAUGGGAGAAGUUUAUGGUGCAAACACCUAUCGCCUUGGUCUUUUUUUUUUUUUUUUUUUUUGGCACUUGCACCAAGGGUGAAUGUAGUUAAAUAGUAGGGUGGCUAUUGGGAAAACACCGUGCUGGACUAAGAACCACCCUAUAUAAGCACAAGGCAAGCUCAGACCAAAGAAGAGGCAGACCACUCCAGGCUGGUUGGUAGUCAAAGGUCUAGACAGGAGAAACUUACAUAGGAGGCAGUCUUAAGCGGGAACAAGAGAAGGCAGAUUUCCACCUCGGCAAUGUAUGCCUGAUUAGUCUUUCAGACAGUGAGAAGAAAAGAGGAAGGAAAAGCUGGUGGCCGGCUGAGGGGUGGGGAUAGCUAUACUGAUAGUGCCUUAGGCCAUCUGGUUGCUCUCUUAAACUAUUUACUUCCUGCUUAAAUGGAUUGUUUCAGUUUCCUUCAAUCUGUUCCACAUUGCUAAGGAGGGGGAGGAUAUUCCUGGAAGCAGCAGUUGUCUUGGCACCAGUAUGCAUUUUCCAGUGGGACUGCAGCCUCCUACAACUCAAUUUAAGGAUCCAUGUGAAAGCACUUUGUACACAGUAAGGUGCUACCCAGUGUCAGCUAUUAUGCAUGGUACAGGACCAUACUUCUCAGCUACAGUGUGUACACCCCUGGGUCAUGAAGCCACCAAAUCAAUUGUCUGCAUUUUCUUUGGGUAUACAUUUUACCCUAUAGCAAAUACUUUAAAAUGUGUUUUAAGUAAACAGAUAUCAUGGAGUAAAAUGCAAAUUUUUUAUUUAUGUGAUAAAAGCUGUCUUAAUUUUCUUAUAUAUAAAUUGUUAUUGAUAUGUGAAUGUUAGCACGUAAUAGGGAUGUAUGAGGGUUGCAUUCUUAUAGAUAAGUAGGAAACAUGCUGAGUUGACUGUGUUUAGCAUAUAAUAGAUGCUCAGGAAAUGCAAGUUUCCUUCUUUUCUUUCACUGGUAAGACAGGGGCGUUCAGGUGGUUUAAUCAUUUUAAGUAUUUGAAAUGUGUUCCUUAUUUUGAAAAUGUUCCUUAUAAUACUUUAUAAAUACUUUCAAUUUUCGCUUAUGAAUUCUACAUGUAUAAGUAGAGUUUCUCUAGCUAUCACCUGUCUAUAAGAAAAAAUAAAUUCAUAUUAAAAAUAA